GACGAACGCUGGCGGCGUGCUUAACACAUGCAAGUCGAACGGAAAGGCCCUGCUUUUGUGGGGUGCUCGAGUGGCGAACGGGUGAGUAACACGUGAGUAACCUGCCCUUGACUUUGGGAUAACUUCAGGAAACUGGGGCUAAUACCGGAUAGGAGCUCCUGCUGCAUGGUGGGGGUUGGAAAGUUUCGGCGGUUGGGGAUGGACUCGCGGCUUAUCAGCUUGUUGGUGGGGUAGUGGCUUACCAAGGCUUUGACGGGUAGCCGGCCUGAGAGGGUGACCGGCCACAUUGGGACUGAGAGACGGACCAGACUCCUACGGGAGGCAGCAGUGGGGAAUAUUGCACAAUGGGCGGAAGCCUGAUGCAGCAACGCCGCGUGCGGGAUGACGGCCUUCGGGUUGUAAACCGCUUUCGCCGGUGACGAAGCGUGAGUGACGGUAAUGGGUAAAGAAGCACCGGCUAACUACGUG
Molecule: ribosomal RNA, 468 nt
Filed under: uncultured bacterium
Lineage: Bacteria
Description: partial 16S ribosomal RNA
Rfam family: Bacterial small subunit ribosomal RNA
Source: RNAcentral